This is a small nuclear RNA of Ochotona princeps (American pika), 114 nucleotides long. Lineage: Eukaryota; Metazoa; Chordata; Mammalia; Lagomorpha; Ochotonidae. The record is from Ensembl.
CUGCUUGAUUCGGCAGCACACAUACUAAAAUUGGAACAAUACAGAGAAGAUUAGCAUGGCUCCUGUGCAAGGAUGACAUGCUAGCCUACUGAAUUAAGGAGGGUUGAUUUUUUU